GUUAAACACUGAAAGCAUUGCAAAACGCAUGUGGCUUUGACCAUAUUACGACUUGGAACUUGGAGGCUUGGGAAAGGUCAAACGGCAACUCUCUCCUCUAUCCUUCCCAGCCCUAAUCCUUUUUCUGCUUCCACUUUCCAAGCGGUAGCUACCACUGUACUCAUCCAUUAACACCAAUUCCAAACAUCCCUUUCACUCUCAAUUCAAUUUUCAAGGUUUUACAUUCUCGCUACUCACUUUCUUUUUCACUGCACCCUCGCCAUUCUUCUUCUUCAAUUCCGCGCUUUCAGCUUCCUCCACUGUUGCUCCAACUAUCUAUUUUAACUUUCAUAGCCAAGUGGUGAUAAUUUGGAGAGGCAUCAUGCCAGCGGUGCGGUGUUUUAUUCCUGAAGACACCGUAGAUCAGAAAUUACAUAUAGAAAGGAAGCUUGGUAGUGUCAAAGCACGCAAGUAUUUUGAUCUGCUGCAGAGAUUUCUGAGUCUCAAAAUUAGCAAAAGUGAAUUUGAUAGGACCUGCAUAGCAACUAUUGGGAGAGAAAAUGUUCCUCUUCAUAAUCAUUUGCUCAAGUCAAUCCUGAGAAAAGCUUGUCUCUCUAAGACAAUUGGGUCAAGAGAAAGCAAAACCGUAAGUUCUUUGAAUGUGAAAACAUCAAAUGGGUGUAGCAAUCUUCAAUUUCUGUGCAAGGACUUUCCACAAUCUCCUCGAAAAGGCAGGACUCCAAAUUUGCGUGAUCGCAGAUACAGGGACCGUCCCAGCCCUCUGGGUCCUCAUGGAAAGAACAACAUUGGAUGUGACGAUUCAGUCCUAAAAACUCAUGAGCAGCAGAGCAUUGCUGAUCUACAGUCCCCAGGGAGUAGACUUGCUCUUCCAGUGGAAGAUGAGGAGGAGAUUGAUCAGGACUCUGAAAUCAUGAACCUUUACAAAAGGGGUCCUAUUGAAGCACCUCUGGGUAUUCCAAUUAACAACAGAAGACCACAAAAAUAUUUAUCCCAAGGAUUAUCGCUUGGUACUUUAAGUGAUACCUGUCAUAACAUUGGUCAGUUACCAGAUACAUCUUCUUUAACCACAAGGUUAGAACAGAAAUUGGAAAUAGAAGGAUGUAAGAUUUCCAUGGAUGCAGCCAACUUGUUAAAUAAUGCACUUGAUCUUUAUCUCAAAAGAUUGAUAAAGCCGUGUUUGGAUUUAGCUGCUUCAAAGUCUGUAAAUAAGUUUGGUGCUUCAAUCCAACCUAGUUUGAAGGAGCUACCAAUGAGAAGGGGUGUGCAAAGACAAUUUGGAUCUGCUUCUGUAUCUCUAUCUGACUUUAGAACAGCAAUAGAGUUGAAUCCUACUCUGUUAGGGAAAGAUUGGCCUCUAAAUUUAGAGAAGGUUUGCCUUCGUGAAUCAGAGGAAUGAUGCAAGACAGGUUCAAUACUGCCGGCUAUAAAAUUGAAUUCCCCUUGAAGUGGAUGGAUGAUAUUGGAAUAGGUAUCAAUGAAUGUAAUCUGCAAAUGGAGAUUGUAAAUUGCACACGUUACAGGUAUGCUGAACAAACCAGGUAUGCAGCUCAUUUUCUUGUUGUGUGCGGGGUUGUAUUUUAUCAUGAUGGAAUUGAUUUUGUUUUUUAUACAGAAAAUAUUGGAGUGUGAAUGUAAGAAUAAGAUUGCUCCCAUGGCUUUGAAAUGGAUUGAAAUAAUAGUUAAUACAAAUAGGUCAGCAAAUAUUAUAGU
Vigna angularis (adzuki bean) is the source of this 1710-nucleotide RNA transcript. RefSeq lists it as uncharacterized. NCBI's taxonomy places the organism in Eukaryota, Viridiplantae, Streptophyta, Magnoliopsida, Fabales, Fabaceae. The transcript has 3 exons. The record is from RefSeq and is a predicted model, not a curated record.